UCAAGAGAUACUUCACUCUAUUUAUAGAUAAAGAAGAAGGACCCAGGCAACCACCGCGGCGCACAAACCCUACAUCCAGAUCCAUCCCACCUCUGACCUAGGCUAUCAUGACUUCCAUCGUCUCCAAGCUCGCGCGGGCAGCCGUCGCAACCCACGCCUCUUCCGCACCGAUUGGAUGUACUGCUGGUGGCAGUCGCUCUACGGCCCGGUGUCUCCCUGGGCUCUGGCUGACUGGCGGUACCAUCCGACGCAUGUGUAGAGGCGUCUCUCCUGCAGGUAAUCCCAGUUUUAACAUCCAAGGAUCCCUUCCGUAAUUUGGAUAUGAAUCCUGACUGCCGAAAUUCCCAAACAGUGCUCCUUAUUUCGUUCCGAAUGCUUCAGAAUUUAAUACCUGAAAUAUAAUUUCUUAUUAUCUGUAGAUAUAUUUGAAUAAGCAGGCAGGGAUUGGGCCUUAUUUAUUGCUUGCUUAGUAGUACCAGCAGAUAAUUUGUUAUAAUAAUUCUGCUUUGCAAGGCUAAACUACCAAUUUUACUCUGAUGAGAGAGCACGUAUUUUCCUACACACUGCAAAUCAAAUUCUAAUUCUUUGCCUACUGAACGACAGGAGGUCCCAAUUCAGAAGAAGAGAAAGGCAGACCCAACUCGGAAGAUGCUGUAGAUGCUGCAGCCAUAGAUCCUAUAGAUUAUCUCCAUGUUCAAGAGGAUUUCCUCAAGUCGAAGGAAGCCCUGUGGGCCUUGUAAGACUACUGGCGCAAGUAUCAUGGCAUCUCGCGGGACAGAAAUGAGAUUGCCAGACGGUUCAACAUAUUUUGCAGAACGGCAAGGCAUGUGCACAAAGUCAACAAUUCCGGCAAGUCAUUAAAGUUGACACUGACCAAGUAUUCAGAUCGGACCACGCGGGAGAUGUUUCGUCCAAAACAUGGCCCUAAAACUUGAUCUCAGCAGACUCUUGUGUCACCUGUAAGCCCGAAAUUUAAGCUUCAGAAUACCAAGUUUCCCAGACAUGGCGAAAGUUCUAGCAUUACUGUAUGGUGCUUUGUUGUGUGAACUUCUUUAGCUAUACACUGGACAUGCUGGUGCUGAUAUGGUUGUGUAUUACUUCCUAUAUGUUUGCAAAAGUUUAUGUUUGUCUGUUCCUUUUCUUGUAGUCCUGUUUCGUCACCCGCUACUAUUCAGGGUUUUUUUUUGCUUUUAAAAGAUAUGUUCAUCAAUUCAUAUAGGAGUAAUAAAAUUUUCCAGUGAAAGAGUUAGUAAAGUGAUAAGAAAGACACUUCA
RNAcentral lists this long non-coding RNA (1274 nucleotides) under Triticum aestivum (bread wheat). RNAcentral describes it as "long non-coding RNA (TAES_LNC023935)". The record is from RNAcentral. Lineage: Eukaryota; Viridiplantae; Streptophyta; Magnoliopsida; Poales; Poaceae.